AACGCACCUUGCGCUCCUUGGUAUUCCGAGGAGCAUGCCUGUUUGAGUGUCAUUAAAUUCUCAACCCUUUCAGCUUUUACGAGCUGGAUUGGCUUGGAUGUGGGGGUUUGCGGGCUUCUCAGAAGUCGGCUCCUCUUAAAUGCAUUAGCGGAACCUUUGUGGACCAGCUUUGGUGUGAUAAUUAUCUACGCCAUGGCUGUGAAGCAGCUUUACAUGGGGUUCAGCUUCUAACCGUCCAUUGACUUGGACAACUUCUGACAUUUUGACCUCAAAUCAGGUAGGACUACCCGCUGAACUUAA
Molecule: unclassified non-coding RNA, 300 nt
Filed under: uncultured Clitocybe
Lineage: Eukaryota; Fungi; Basidiomycota; Agaricomycetes; Agaricales; Tricholomataceae
Description: sequence contains ITS2
Rfam family: 5.8S ribosomal RNA (bases 1-52)
Source: RNAcentral